GAAGGAGGACAGGUGAUCGCUGGGUCGGCAAACCGACCUGGAGGAAAGUCCGAGCUCCACAGGGCAGGAUGGUCGCUAACGGCGACUGGGGGCAACCCUAAGGAAAGUGCCACAGAAAAUAUACCGCCUGCCUAUGGCAGGUAAGGGUGAAAAGGCGAGGUAAGAGCUCACCAGUUUCCCGGGUGACCGGGAAAGCUUGGCAAACCCCAUCCGGAGCAAGACCAAAUAGGAGAACAUUUGAGGGUGGCCCGCCCAACGUUCUCGGGUAGGUCGCUUGAGGCAAC
This 284-nucleotide RNase P RNA is filed under the name Syntrophobacterales bacterium. RNAcentral's name for it is "partial RNase P RNA component class A". It matches the Rfam family "Bacterial RNase P class A", at positions 1 to 289 of the family's 367-position model. From Rfam's summary of the family: Ribonuclease P (RNase P) is a ubiquitous endoribonuclease, found in archaea, bacteria and eukarya as well as chloroplasts and mitochondria. Its best characterised activity is the generation of mature 5'-ends of tRNAs by cleaving the 5'-leader elements of precursor-tRNAs. The record is from RNAcentral. Lineage: Bacteria; Pseudomonadati; Thermodesulfobacteriota; Syntrophobacteria; Syntrophobacterales.